UUUUGUUCUUCCUUCCUGUCUCGUUCUCGUCUCUAAAUCUCUGCUUUUCUCUCGUUCUCUCCCCCCUUACUACUACCAGAAACAUCGUUAUCAUCAACUUCAUAAACCCCCAAAUCCUUUUCCCUAUUUUCUUUCAAAACCCUAGAAAUCUCUUUCUGUUUGAAGAUCCACCAAACCCAAAACCUAAUGGUCGUCGUUCAAAAAGAAGAAGAUAGAAAACAUCUUGGAACUAGGGGUCAAUACAAAGGGGUUUGUUUGUUUAUUUGAUAUAUGUUGAUUGUGUAAAUGAAAUUUCAAUAAAUAGGUCAGGAUAAGAUUAUAGUUUUGAAGUUCUAAUUGAAUUUGAUUUGUUAAAGGCAGAGAUGGGGUUCUAGGUCUGCUGUAAAGAGUUGGAUAUCACUCUACUUGUUACAGGAACUUGCAGGCUAAAUGAUUGCAGGGAAUGAGCUAUGUAAGAUUACAAACAAGCAGCAAACUGAUUCAUUGACAUUUGAGGGGUUAGACCAAAUUUGGAAAGUUGUGGAGGAUAGUGACGUAGAUUUUGUGCUUUGUCUUGGUUGGAACAAGAAACUUAAGCAAGCUUCAAAAUAUUGGGGUUAGAUAGUAUCUUUGGCUAAAACAUUAUUAACAUGUGCUCUUGAUCAAGCAUCACUGGUUUUCCCUCUUUGGUCCAUUUUAAGGAGUAAUCGCUAUUACAGUCGAAGAAGAAGAUGAUAUUGUAAAAUUUUCUGAUUACAAAGCUUCGUCAACGGCAUCUAGUGGAGGGGCGAAAAGCUCACCUGAACCUUCUCCACCAAAAAAGAGGCGGAGCCCGUGAGCUCGCCUGAGCUAACAAGUUCAGUGGCUGCUGAACCUCCUCAAUCAGAAGGUCGCAGUUUUGCUCUCCCUCUUGCAAAAAAACUGGCUGAAGAUUGAAGAGAACAACGUGCCUAUUUCAAGCGUUAAAGGCACAGGUCCUGAUGGAAGUAUUGUGAAGGAUGAUAUUGAUGACUACUUGGCUAGCAAGGCAUCAACCUCCAAGGAUAAAGCUACAACACAUGCAUCUAAUUUGGAUUACACCGAACUUCCACACAGUCAAAUAACAAAAGUAAACUUUUUCUUUUGUAUGCCUUAACGUUAAGUGGGACAGAGCUGUAGCUGAUAUAUCUACUUUUGCAGAUCACAGCUUCACAUCUGCUACAAUUAAAACAAACUAUUCCUCAUUAUUAUUUGACUGUUGAUUCUUGUGUCGACAAACUAAUGGAGUGAGUAUCAGUUGUGAAAAACAAAGUUUUAUGUUUCUUCUGUUCUUGUGAUGUGGGUGCUCCUUAGGUAUGGUUAUUUUCCUGAAAGAUUGAGAAGCCAACUUAAUUCCUUCCAAGAAGAUUCUGGUGGGAAACAGAUAUCAGUUAAUGAUCUUGUAGUGAAGGCUGCUGCUUUGGCUCUUCGCAAAGUUCCUCAAUGUAACAGUUCCUGUACAAAUGAUUAUAUCUGCCAGUUCAAAACCAUCCUCUGAUGGAUCUGGGAGGAGAAUAAGAGAAGUUGCAUGUCCUACUUGCACCGUCCAUUUGCGGUAAAACGAUGGCUCACUAUAGCUCCCGUUGCACCCACAACCCUCUGGUACCAACUCCAUUGUGUUUUGUCUCAGCCAAUGUAUGUCAUGGCUGGACGAGAUUACUGGAACUCUUCGUAUGGUUUCUCAAAAUGCACAGAGUUAUACCGUUUACUUAACCAUGUCAGGGUGCUUUGGAAAAUCCUUCUUUUAUCCUACUUUUCGAAAGCUCUUCCUGUAGAGGUUUUCUUACAGUGGGGCUACCUCCUCUUUCGCGAACACUAGAAUCUAACUGGUAAGGCGUUAGUGAGAUCUUUGAUUUCAGCUGCAUCUCUAUCUUAGCAGCUUUCUGUAAUAAACAUGAAAAAUGGUGAGGUGGCGCUUGUGAGUCUGGCUAUAAAACCAAAUAUGCUUUUGGAUCUCCAUAGUCUCGGCAAGAACUCGCCGUUGUUCCUCCUGGUUCAAUCAUCUCUUACUGAAGUUGGCUUGUAUCUUUCGUUAAGACGUUAUGUACGACAUGGGAUAGAAUCCUGGGACAUGGACAAUGGUGAGAACAUUGUGUUGCUGGCAAAAAGAAGAAAGAAGGUAGUGCAAGAUAUAUGGGACCAAGUAUUCAAAACCUGUAAGCAUGAUGGACGGUUUCCUGAGGUUGGCGCAAGCAAAUACAAAGAAAUAUUUAGAAACAUGUGGGGUUCUUGCUGGUAAACCGAAAAACAGAGUAUUCCAUAUUACAACACUGAUAAUUCCAAAGCAGGAGGCAACUUAGGACUCUAAGAAAUUUUCGAGUUUCAAGACAAACUCUUCCUUUUCCCCCUUGGGUGGAUUCAUGCAAGCACAUCCUUCACAGACUUGCUUUAUGUCUUCAGUUGAUCUUCAUACACAUUAUUCAUACCAGAUUUUGAGCAGCUUCAUUGGGCGUGCGACAUCUAACACACUGCUCUUGCUGGUUCCUCCAGUUGAAAUGCCUCACAACCCAUGGUACUUAAACUUCAAGCACCGGGCAUACCUCAUGCGGCAGAGAAUGUUCACCUGGUUAGCUGGUUCCAGCAGACCAAUGUGAGAGUUCUUAUUUCUUUAGAUCAUUUUGUAAGAACCUUAGUGUGAUACUGAAUAUUUAUAAAAAUAUCCACAUGAUAUGAUUUUUGUGAUGUGCUUCAUACUUUUUGGUGUAUAUGGACUGCAUCAUGGUAUAUCAUUGUGAAUUAACUCUAAGAGUACG
This is an RNA transcript of Papaver somniferum (opium poppy), 2750 nucleotides long. RefSeq lists it as uncharacterized. Lineage: Eukaryota; Viridiplantae; Streptophyta; Magnoliopsida; Ranunculales; Papaveraceae. The record is from RefSeq and is a predicted model, not a curated record. The transcript has 16 exons.